This 377-nucleotide ribosomal RNA is filed under the name uncultured eukaryote. RNAcentral describes it as "partial 18S ribosomal RNA". It matches the Rfam family "Eukaryotic small subunit ribosomal RNA", at positions 592 to 976 of the family's 1831-position model. The record is from RNAcentral.
CAAUAGCGUAUAUUUAAGUUGCUGCAGUUAAAAAGCUCGUAGUUGGAUUUCGGGUGGGAAUGGCCGGUCCGCCGUUUCGGUGUGCACUUUCUACGCCCACCUUGCUGCCGGGGACGUGCUCUUGAGUUCACGCUCGGGACACGGAGUCGGCGAGGUUACUUUGAGUAAAUUAGAGUGUUCAAAGCAGGCCUACGCUCUGAAUACAUUAGCAUGGAAUAACACGAUAGGACUCUGGCCUAUCUUGUUGGUCUGUAGGACCGGAGUAAUGAUUAAGAGGGACAGUCGGGGGCAUUCGUAUUUCAUUGUCAGAGGUGAAAUUCUUGGAUUUAUGAAAGACGAACUACUGCGAAAGCAUUUGCCAAGGAUGUUUUCAUUAA